AAGCGGCACGCGAGCUGGGUUCAGAACGWCGUGAGACAGUUCGGUCCCUAUCCGUCGCGGGCGUUGGAAAUUUGAGAGGAGCUGUCCUUAGUACGAGAGGACCGGGAUGGACUUACCGCUGGUGUACCAGUUGUUCUGCCAAGGGCAUUGCUGGGUAGCUAUGUAGGGAAGGGAUAAACGCUGAAAGCAUCUAAGUGUGAAGCCCACCUCAAGAUGAGAUUUCCCAUUUCUUUAAGAAAGUAAGAUUCCUGAGAGAUGAUCAGGUAGAUAGGUCAGGAGUGGAAGUACAGUGAUGUAUGGAGCGGACUGAUACUAAUCGAUCGAGGACUUAACCAAU
This 337-nucleotide ribosomal RNA is filed under the name Enterococcus faecium. RNAcentral's name for it is "bacterial LSU rRNA". It matches the Rfam family "Bacterial large subunit ribosomal RNA", at positions 2591 to 2925 of the family's 2925-position model. Lineage: Bacteria; Bacillati; Bacillota; Bacilli; Lactobacillales; Enterococcaceae. The record is from RNAcentral.